Molecule: ribosomal RNA, 330 nt
Filed under: uncultured eukaryote
Lineage: Eukaryota
Description: partial 18S ribosomal RNA
Rfam family: Eukaryotic small subunit ribosomal RNA
Source: RNAcentral
CCCUUAGAUGUUCGGGGCCGCACGCGCGCUACACUGAAGGAAUCAGCACGUCUUUCUCCUUGUCCGAAAGGACUGGGUAACCCGCUGAACCUCCUUCGUGCUAGGGAUUGGGGCUUGUAAUUCUUCCCCAUGAACGAGGAAUUCCCAGUAAGCGCGAGUCAUAAGUUCGCGUUGAUUACGUCCCUGCCCUUUGUACACACCGCCCGUCGCUACUACCGAUUGGAUGGUUUAGUGAGAUCCUCGGAUUGGUCCCGGCGCGGCCUCUGGUCGUGCCGGAGUGCCGAAAAGAAUGUCGAACUUGAUCAUCUAGAGGAAGUAAAAGUCGUAACA